UGGGGAAUAUUGGACAAUGGGCGAAAGCCUGAUCCAGCAAUGCCGCGUGUGUGAAGAAGGUCUUCGGAUUGUAAAGCACUUUCGACGGGGACGAUGAUGACGGUACCCGUAGAAGAAGCCCCGGCUAACUUCGUCCAG
Molecule: ribosomal RNA, 138 nt
Filed under: uncultured bacterium
Lineage: Bacteria
Description: partial 16S ribosomal RNA
Rfam family: Bacterial small subunit ribosomal RNA
Source: RNAcentral